Molecule: ribosomal RNA, 460 nt
Filed under: uncultured bacterium
Lineage: Bacteria
Description: partial 16S ribosomal RNA
Rfam family: Bacterial small subunit ribosomal RNA
Source: RNAcentral
CCUACGUGUGGCAGCAGUGAGGAAUAUUGGUCACUGGACGCAAGUCUGAACCAGCCAUGCCGCGUGCAGGAAGACGGCUCUAUGAGUUGUAAACUGCUUUUGUACGAGGGUAAACGCAGAUACGCGUCUCUGUCUGCAAGUAUCUUACGAAUCAGGAUCGGCUAACUCCGUGCCAGCAGCCGCGGUAAUACGGAGGAUUCAAGCGUUAUCCGGAUUUAUUGGGUUUAAAGGGUUCGUAGGCGGUCUGAGAAGUUAGAGGUGAAAUCCCGAGGCUCAACUUCGGAAUUGCCUCUGAUACUGUUCGGCUAGAGAGUAGUGGCGGGAGGCUGAAUGUAUGUUGUAGCGGUGAAAUGCUUAGAGAUCAUACAGAACACCGAUUGCGAAGGCAGCGUACCAAGCUACUUCUGACGUUGAGGCACGAAAGCGUGGGGAGCAAACAGGAUUAGAUACCCUUGUAGUC